UCAGCUUCUCUCCAUGGACACGGCGGGCGCAUUGACGCCACAAGCUUGAAAAUAAUGUAGAUAAAAUUACAGGUUGAAAUUCUGAUUUUAUUUCAAAAUGAUAAAUAAACCGAGGCAUAGUUCUGACCCUCUUUGAUCUUCAGCAAUUUUAAAAGUUCUUCAUCCUAAUUUCUGAGUAUCAUAAAAAGUAAAAAGUUGUGUCCUGUGAAAUGAACCUAAUUUUCCGAGUGAAUAGGAACGCCUGAGUGGCCAUUUAGAGUGCUGCAUUUUCCUUCCCUCAUGAUUCCUGCUGGGUCCUCUUCGCUGAGGCUUUUCCCUGAGUCAUAUAUUUACUGGAAAGGCUACCUAGA
This 350-nucleotide long non-coding RNA is filed under the name Homo sapiens (human). RNAcentral describes it as "HSALNT0151341". The record is from RNAcentral. Lineage: Eukaryota; Metazoa; Chordata; Mammalia; Primates; Hominidae.